This 539-nucleotide ribosomal RNA is filed under the name Hydrogenophaga sp. enrichment culture. RNAcentral's name for it is "bacterial SSU rRNA". It matches the Rfam family "Bacterial small subunit ribosomal RNA", at positions 374 to 907 of the family's 1533-position model. Lineage: Bacteria; Pseudomonadati; Pseudomonadota; Betaproteobacteria; Burkholderiales; Comamonadaceae. The record is from RNAcentral.
GGCGCAAGCCUGAUCCAGCAAUGCCGCGUGCAGGAAGAAGGCCUUCGGGUUGUAAACUGCUUUUGUACGGAACGAAACGGUCCUGGUUAAUACCCGGGGCUAAUGACGGUACCGUAAGAAUAAGCACCGGCUAACUACGUGCCAGCAGCCGCGGUAAUACGUAGGGUGCAAGCGUUAAUCGGAAUUACUGGGCGUAAAGCGUGCGCAGGCGGUUUUGUAAGACAGGCGUGAAAUCCCCGGGCUCAACCUGGGAAUUGCGCUUGUGACUGCAAGGCUGGAGUGCGGCAGAGGGGGAUGGAAUUCCGCGUGUAGCAGUGAAAUGCGUAGAUAUGCGGAGGAACACCGAUGGCGAAGGCAAUCCCCUGGGCCUGCACUGACGCUCAUGCACGAAAGCGUGGGGAGCAAACAGGAUUAGAUACCCUGGUAGUCCACGCCCUAAACGAUGUCAACUGGUUGUUGGGUCUCUUCUGACUCAUUAACGAAGCUAACGCGUGAAGUUGACCGCCUGGGGAGUACGGCCGCAAGGUUGAACUCAAAUG